CUGCGCGCGAGCGAACAGAGGGAGGGGCGCGCGCCGGCGAGGGAGACCCAAGCUAGGGCGGCAGGGAAGCUCCAUGGCGGGAGUCGCGGCUCGAGGAAGCUCAGCUGGACGCUCGGCCAUGGGAGGGGGAGAGGAGCGUGCAGAAGCUUGAAACCGAGCAGAGAGGAGCGCCAUGGGGCUUGGGGCCGGGCACGUAGGGAGCAGGGCGCGCGCGCAGCACCAGAGCUGGAGCAGGCAAUCUUGAGGGAGAUGAGCGCGCUAGAGGAGGGAGCCACGGUCCAAACGCUGGCGAGCUCGAAGCCGGCUAUGGACGAGCUCGGGCAGAGGGGCCAGGGGCGCGACGCAGAAAGGAGCGCGCGACAGGGAGAGGGAAGAGGGAGCAGGGGCGCUUGCCAGGGAGAUCCGCGCGAGAGAGAUGGGCGCGGCAUGCAGGGGAAGAAGAAGCUCCGCUGCUGGAGACCAGAGGCGGCCGAGCGCCUAGGAGGGAGAAGUGGAAGGAGCAGAGGCCGAGGUGAGCGCGGAGAGGAGUUCGGCUGGGGAUAA
This 543-nucleotide unclassified non-coding RNA is filed under the name Zea mays. RNAcentral describes it as "misc RNA Zm00001eb132090". Lineage: Eukaryota; Viridiplantae; Streptophyta; Magnoliopsida; Poales; Poaceae. The record is from RNAcentral.